UGAAGUUGAAUGACAGCACUUGGUUGAAAUGUGAGGAAAAUGACUUCUACAUCCCCCUCUCAAGUUCAAGCAGCUUUCCUGCUCAACCUGGACAGGGACAAUCUAAAGUGGUACUAGAAUCUGAAAAGACUGUGGAAGCAAAUAAAGAGGUUUCUCAAAUUUCAUAUACUGAUGAUAUAAUUAGUGAAAUAAGGAACUUAGUAAAUGACAUUUCCUCUGAGAAGAGUCGUGGGACAAAAACAAAAGGAGCACAAGAAAGCAUUCUUCAAGAAAUUGAGAAAUUGGCUGCUGAAGCCUACAGUAUCUUCAGAA
This 312-nucleotide unclassified non-coding RNA is filed under the name Hevea brasiliensis (rubber tree). Lineage: Eukaryota; Viridiplantae; Streptophyta; Magnoliopsida; Malpighiales; Euphorbiaceae. The record is from RNAcentral.